This 165-nucleotide small nuclear RNA is filed under the name Dasypus novemcinctus (nine-banded armadillo). RNAcentral describes it as "U1 spliceosomal RNA (ENSDNOG00000028567.1)". It matches the Rfam family "U1 spliceosomal RNA". Rfam says of the family: U1 is a small nuclear RNA (snRNA) component of the spliceosome (involved in pre-mRNA splicing). The record is from RNAcentral. Lineage: Eukaryota; Metazoa; Chordata; Mammalia; Cingulata; Dasypodidae.
AUAAUUAACCUACUAGGGAAGGUACCAUGAUCAGGAGAAGGUUUUCCUAGGGCAAGGCUUAUCCAUUGUGCUCUGGAUGUGCUGACCCUUUUGGUUUCCUCAAAUGUGGGAAACUUGAUGGCAUAAUUUGUGGUAGUGGGGGGAUUGCGUUCAUGUUCUUUCUCG